AACCAUGCUAUACUUACCAUAUUUUGCAAAAUGCUUUAGAAGAAGUGCCUCCUAUUAUAAUUAUUAACAAUUUCCUUGAUGUCCUCAAUUUCGGAAGGAAAUGGCUCAAUCUUUUGAAACGUGGCUACUGUUAAAAUGCAACAAGAAUUUUUUAGAAUCUAAUUAAUUUAGUAUUUGUUACCAUAAUGAAUUCGGAAUGAAACUUUGAAAUAACUGCUUCUAUUUUUUUGCACUUUAAAAUUAAAUUUAUUUUGUUAAAUUUCAGACAAUUAAAAGGCAUAAUAAUGGACGCAGCAAGCAGGAAAGAAAGCACUUGAAACAAGUUAGAGUUGCAAAAGAGACCACUUACAACCAAAACGUGCAAAAUUUGAUAUUGAUGCAGAAAGCAAUAGUGAAUGAAGUGGAUAAAUAAUUAGAUCAAUAUGGUAGUAAGGAAGCUACACUGAGAAGAAAUCCUCUAUCUGCUACUUGUUAAAUAAAUGUAUGACAGACGCUAAAAAUAUAAUAAAAAAUACAAUAUCUAAACAAUAAAAA
This is a non-coding RNA of Parasteatoda tepidariorum (common house spider), 534 nucleotides long. The record is from RefSeq and is a predicted model, not a curated record. Lineage: Eukaryota; Metazoa; Arthropoda; Arachnida; Araneae; Theridiidae.